Pristis pectinata (smalltooth sawfish) is the source of this 579-nucleotide long non-coding RNA. RefSeq lists it as uncharacterized. NCBI's taxonomy places the organism in Eukaryota, Metazoa, Chordata, Chondrichthyes, Rhinopristiformes, Pristidae. The record is from RefSeq and is a predicted model, not a curated record. The transcript is spliced from 3 exons.
CUGAUCCACAGAAAGGAAAGCAAGAGAUAUGGGACCCACUCUAAUCAGUGGACACCUUUCUGUUGCUAAUAUUGGAGGACAAGUUACUGAAGUUGCCAAGUGAUGAAGGCCUGUUGAUGCUGCUCAACUCACCAAGUUCCUGCAGCAGAUCGCUUGCGGCUCCAGGAUCCAGCGUCUGCAGUCUCCUGUGUCUACCGCUGGACCAGAUGCCAAGGGUUGCAAUCACUGGCUGAACAUGCACGGUCUACUGAGGUACAGAGUGUAGUGAAGAAGUCUCCUCAUCCCUCUCCCUGGUUGAGCACUUGAAGAACAGUAACCGAGUGGAGUCGCCUAAGUUGUCCAGUUCUGGGCAGAAUGAACUCAGCGGGCAAAGAAACCUCCUUUUGUGAUGCAAGUUCCUCUGAUUGUACGAUCUUCCCCUGCCCCUGAUAAGCAAGGCUUCAGAAGACGAGCCUGACCAUCAGUUGUAAGCACAACUUAAUGCUGAAGGGAAGAGCAGUAGAAGGAUUUCCAUUACAAGACCACCUGGGCUAACCAGCCAGGAAAGUGUUUUGGAGCAAGUGCUUUGAAAAACAAGGA